Molecule: ribosomal RNA, 167 nt
Filed under: Calamagrostis purpurascens
Lineage: Eukaryota; Viridiplantae; Streptophyta; Magnoliopsida; Poales; Poaceae
Description: 5.8S ribosomal RNA
Rfam family: 5.8S ribosomal RNA
About the family: 5.8S ribosomal RNA (5.8S rRNA) is a component of the large subunit of the eukaryotic ribosome. It is transcribed by RNA polymerase I as part of the 45S precursor that also contains 18S and 28S rRNA.
Source: RNAcentral
UCUCGGCAACGGAUAUCUCGGCUCUCGCAUCGGAUGAAGACGCAGCGAAAUGCGAUACCUGGUGUGAAUUGCAGAAUCCCGCGAACCAUCGAGUCUUUGAACGCAAGUUGCGCCCGAGGCCAUUCGGCCGAGGGCACGCCUGCCUGGGCGUCACGCAAAACACGCUC